GUGCCAGCAGCCGCGGUAAUACAGAGGUCCCAAGCGUUGUUCGGAUUCACUGGGCGUAAAGGGUGCGUAGGUGGCUGGGAAAGUUUGAUGUGAAAGCUCAGGGCUCAACCCUGAAAUGGCAUUGAAUACUACUUAGCUGGAGGUUUGGAGGGGGGACUGGAAUUCUCGGUGUAGCAGUGAAAUGCGUAGAUAUCGAGAGGAACACCAGUGGCGAAGGCGAGUCCCUGGACAACACCUGACACUGAGGCACGAAAGCUAGGGGAGCAAACAGGAUUAGAAACCCCAGUAGUCC
RNAcentral lists this ribosomal RNA (292 nucleotides) under uncultured bacterium. RNAcentral describes it as "partial 16S ribosomal RNA". It matches the Rfam family "Bacterial small subunit ribosomal RNA", at positions 505 to 796 of the family's 1533-position model. The record is from RNAcentral.